GGAGAGGUGCAGGAGUGGCUGAACUGGCACGCCUGGAAAGCGUGUUGGCGUUAAUAGCGCCACGAGGGUUCGAAUCCCUCCC
This 82-nucleotide transfer RNA is filed under the name Bacteroidota bacterium. RNAcentral describes it as "Bacteroidetes bacterium (groundwater metagenome) tRNA-Ser". It matches the Rfam family "tRNA". Rfam says of the family: Transfer RNA (tRNA) molecules are approximately 80 nucleotides in length. Their secondary structure includes four short double-helical elements and three loops (D, anti-codon, and T loops). Further hydrogen bonds mediate the characteristic L-shaped molecular structure. tRNAs have two regions of fundamental functional importance: the anti-codon, which is responsible for specific mRNA codon recognition, and the 3' end, to which the tRNAs corresponding amino acid is attached (by aminoacyl-tRNA synthetases). tRNAs cope with the degeneracy of the genetic code in two manners: having more than one tRNA (with a specific anti-codon) for a particular amino acid; and 'wobble' base-pairing, i.e. permitting non-standard base-pairing at the 3rd anti-codon position. The record is from RNAcentral. Lineage: Bacteria; Pseudomonadati; Bacteroidota.